Molecule: long non-coding RNA, 2337 nt
Filed under: Spirodela polyrhiza (greater duckweed)
Lineage: Eukaryota; Viridiplantae; Streptophyta; Magnoliopsida; Alismatales; Araceae
Description: long non-coding RNA (SPOL_LNC000937)
Source: RNAcentral
ACAGCACAGCCAUGGUGAGCGCCAAGAGACUCCUCAAGAUGGCCACCCUCCGGAGACCAAGGAUCCCCCUGUCCAAAUCAGUCCACGGAACAGCCGCGCCGCUGUGCAGCAGCCCCUCCUCCCCUGUACCCAGCAAGGGAACCUUCGUCGUCUACUCUCGGGACGGAGCACGCUUUGUGGUUCCCUUGGCGUACCUCGACGCCACCGUCUUCAGGGAGCUCCUAGAGAUUUCCAAAGAGGAGUUCGGGCUUCCCGGCGACGGCCCCAUCGUGAUGCCAUGCGAUGCAGCUCUCAUGGCUCAAGUCAUCGCGGCGCUCCGCAGAGGGGCACCUCGAGAGGCGGAGAAGGCGCUGCUCGGCACCAUCGCCGGGGUGCGGUGCUCAUCCUCGUCCUCGCCCCCGCAAGGCGUUGCCCACCGGCCACUUCUAGUCCCUGGUUUCUGAACACUGUCAGACUAACUCCCCAUUUAUACAAUCUGUAGAUAUCUACGAACAAAUGUUCAAACUAUUUGAAGGAAACUUAUGUCUCCCUAUCGUGUGGCGUAACUCUGUUCAGCAGAUGCAUUAAAGGAAAUACGUUCUUUCUUUUGAUGUAGCUAUUUUUCACUCUAUACUUCCUCCAACACGAUUCGAUCACACUUGCAGUACAAUGUUUGAUUUAAUACGAAAAUCUUCUCAAAUUAUCAAUAACAAUAUUUUGAGGGCGUUUGAUCCGAACCAAUAUUCUCUUCCUCGACAUCACUAAGCAGAAAUAAGGUUUAUAGUAUAAAUUUUGUAAUGAUGGCUGUCAUAUUGAUGAAUGAAUUUAGCUAAACUAUUUAGAUGGAAACUUUUAUUCAAUCUUUUACUCGAAGUUAACAAUAAAUUCUUGAAAAGUUCAUUUUUUUUUGUACAAAAUGAUGUCAUAUACAGCAUCUGUCACCGAUCCGCGGUUAGAAUAUAUUAAACAGUCUCGCACUGAUACCACAAGUUCCACGCAUGCCACACUCGAUUGCACUACAAUAUUCAUUAGUCCUGUUGCAAGUUCUAUACCUCUUAUUGGUAUUUUGAUGUAUACGCAUGCCACACACGAUGUUACAAUAUAUUCGUCAUGUUUGCUUUCAAAUUUCAUGGAAGAGCCGCUCGAUCAAUCGUACUUGACCAGAUUAUUAAAUUAUCCCAUGUCCAUAUUAUAAGCAAUGCUCUAAAGAUGCUACACUUACGAUUCAUCUUAAAAAACAACGUACUCGUUCUGAAGAAAAGGCUCGACUAGUUCUUUGACUUGAAGCAUCACUCCUAAGAAGCAUAAGAUUUCAUCUAAUUAAGGUGGUAUCGGAAUACCCCUGGCAUCGUAGAAUGACCGUCCUAACCCUGUAAUCCGCAGCAUCUCAUCUAGCGAACUGUAUAUUUUCUCCUCCAAAUAGGUAUCAUUUCAAUGGUCGAUGAGAUCCACUGAUGUUUAAUAUUACUACACGAAAAAAAAGUGUUUAAGACGAUACAUUUUGAAAUAUUUGUGCGUCGUAUUCUUGGUGCUGCAUUUUAGACCAAGUAUGCUCUUGAAGGCCUCGUGCUGCUCCUUAUGAUGGCAUAUCCGAAUGCAUAAGCUUACGCCUUCGAAGCCUCAUCUCGUCCCCGUACGUCCCAACGAAACGAUAUGCUCUUACUAGGAAUAUCCAGAUCUGAUGAUAAGACGGGUCCUUGAAAGGUUGUCUGUUAUCCCAUAUUGUAUCAGAGUUAUAUGGGGAAGGACUAGCUUCGUAUGUGGGUCCCGUCAUGUCUCGUCGCUGGGCCCAACCCUUAUCGUGACAACUCACGUUAUGGGUCCCAUAACAUCUUCUCUGGGGCCCUCUAGCGCCCGUUUCUGUCAGGGCAUUUAUCGUGACCAACGGGCUCCCGUGGUCAUCACGUGGCCUGGCUCGGGGUGCCGUCUCUCUCUCACCCUGCUCUUAUAAAUCUCCACCCGAGGAACCCGGACCUCCACACCCUCAGCAAAGCUCCGGCAAUCCCACAACAUCUCUCCCAUACUCUCUUCCUCCCCUCCUUAACCACUGCAUCGCCAUGGUCAGCGCCAAGAGGCUCCUCCAGAUGGCAAGGAAGUGGCAGAAGAUGGCCGCCCUCCGGAGACCGAGGAACCUUCUGUCCAGACCAGCACACGAAACCACCGCCCCGCUGCGCAGCAGCCCCUCCAGCUCUGCACCGAGCAAGGGAACCUUCGUCGUCUACUCUCGGGACGGCGGACGCUUUGCGGUUCCCUUGGCGUAUCUCAACACCCCCGUCUUCAGGGAGCUCCUCGAGAUGUCCGAGGAGGAGUUUGGAUUACCCAGCGACGGCCCCAUCGUGAUGCCAUGCGAUGCGGCUC